RNAcentral lists this unclassified non-coding RNA (207 nucleotides) under plant metagenome. Its description in RNAcentral is "partial contains small subunit ribosomal RNA and internal transcribed spacer 1". The stretch from base 1 to 46 matches the Rfam family "Eukaryotic small subunit ribosomal RNA", at positions 1786 to 1831 of the family's 1831-position model. The record is from RNAcentral.
AAGUCAUAACAAGGUUUCUGUAGGUGAACCUGCAGAAGGAUCAUUAUUGAAUUUGAAAAUGGGGAGUUGCUUUCGGGCACUCUUCUACUAUUCUUUAUUUCCUAACACCUGUGAAUCGUUGCUGAGUUUGCUCAGUGCACCUUUUUUUUCACACAAACACUUUUUAAAGUAUAGAACGUUAAAAAGCAUAAAAAUCAAAAAGUAUAA